This 504-nucleotide ribosomal RNA is filed under the name uncultured bacterium. RNAcentral describes it as "partial 16S ribosomal RNA". It matches the Rfam family "Bacterial small subunit ribosomal RNA", at positions 30 to 523 of the family's 1533-position model. The record is from RNAcentral.
AUUGAACGCUGGCGGCAGGCCUAACGCAUGCAAGUCGAACGGUAGCACAGAGAGCUUGCUCUCGGGUGACGAGUGGCGGACGGGUGAGUAACGUCUGGGAAACUGCCCGAUGGAGGGGGAUAACUACUGGAAACGGUAGCUAAUACCGCAUAACGUCGCAAGACCAAAGUGGGGGACCUUCGGGCCUCACACCAUCGGAUGUGCCCAGAUGGGAUUAGCUAGUAGGUGGGGUAAUGGCUCACCUAGGCGACGAUCCCUAGCUGGUCUGAGAGGAUGACCAGCCACACUGGAACUGAGACACGGUCCAGGCUCCUACGGGAGGCAGCAGUGGGGAAUAUUGCACAUUGGGCGCAAGCCUGAUGCAGCCAUGCCGCGUGUAUGAAGAGGGCCUUCUGGUUGUAAAGUACUUUCAGCGGGGAGGAAGGCGGUGAAGUUAAUAGCUUCACCGAUUGGCGUUACCCGCAGAAGAAGCACCGGCUAACUCCGUGCCAGCCGCCGCGGUAA